UAUUAUAUGUGUAGCCGUACACAAUGAACUUCCUGCCGUCCACAUCCUCUCACCUACAACGCGUGCCUCGCGACUUACUACGGAUUCACUCUCCGAGCGUAUCGAUGAUCGUGUGAAAUUCGGAAUCGACGAAGUUUCUAUAAUUCACACGUGAUCAUUUCGUCUCCGUCUCCUUUUACUUUUUUACGCCGUUGCGAACGUAACGAUUCGUACACGUUAAACGCUUCACCUGAAGGAUAGUAGAAUAUUGCACAUUUACGUCAGAAUCAUGAGCAGUUAUUAGUUUACGUGGCACUUGGUUCAACGUGGAUUCUGUGAAUUGGAUUACAAAACAAUAUAUCGAACUAAUAUAUUUCGAAGAUGACACGUAUAAAAUGUUGUUGCAUGUGUCGGAAAUCUUCAGGUAUACGGGCUUUGGAGAGGGGACCCACAUCUAUUAGGAUUUCGUGAAUUCGAUGGAAUUUCGUUCUGAAAGAACGAUGGGCACAUUGGAUUUUCUCUCACGAUCAAUAAACGAGUGAUUUAUCAUUUAAUCUGCGUGGCAAUUUCAAUUUAAGGUGUAACUGAGUAUACUCUGUCAUUCCUGUCUAUAAUGAUUCCUUGAAAAACAACGUCGUUAAAUACUUCCAGACCUGAACCGCAAACAAAUCCUGGGAAGUAGACUUUCGGCGUCUCUACAUGACGUCAUAUCAAUUAAAACGUAUGCACGUUCUACGUACGCACACGUACUUACAUUACCUACACCAGUUUGAAGAUCGUAACGACUGGCAGCUGAUGCCGGCUGUUUUUAAUUUGUCCCAUGAUCUUGAGGAUAAUUAACGAAAUUAAAUGGCGUCUGGUUGUCCGAACCAGUGACAUGCCGGUCUUGCCGAAUCGCAACGUUGGAGAGUUCAUAGCUUUUUGCAGUAACUCAUUGCGCUAAUCUUGAGAAUUAUCUUGAAGGCUAUAGCAAUUACCUGGUCACAAUGUGUGUAGACGUGUAUCCCAUAAAUAUGUAGCCACAUAAAUUUUUUUCACUAAUGAAUCACUUCUCUGAUAUAAUAAACUUAGUUGGUUAAAUAAAAGUUAAAGAAAGAGAUUGUUCUUGGAUAAUGAAAUUUCGAUACAGCAAAACGUAGUUUAGGUACACGAGUUCUUCAACGUGUUUACUAACGUUACAUAAGAAUCGUGCAUGGGAAACAGUUUUUCAGUGUAAAUACCGGGAUGGGGAAAUGCUUCCUGGUUGCCGGGGUGUUAACUAGCGCGAAAUGAACCAUGUGUAUCUUUUUAAUUCGUCUGUAACGCGAGAAUAAUUGAUGGAACGCGUAGAGACGUUUGCGCUCAACGACGCGGCGCGGCGGGCAGUGGUAAAACGUUUGAAAUAGCUGACUGAUACGAUGCCGAGAGUCUCUCGAAAACGGUCGACGAAAGAUGGACGGAGAACGCGAGAAAGGCACACUGUCAAGGUGUUUGCCAAAGACAAACCUCGGACUUCAAACGUAGAUGUUCCAUCUGAGUGGACACCGUCCGGUAUACAUUCAACACCGUGCGACCACGGCUCGUUCGGAACCGCACGAAAAAACCUGAUACCACAACCAUCUCCCUUUGCCUUCAACUUGAAACAUCCCCGGGACUGACGCUUUGACCGUGUCAAAGCCUCCAGCCGUACCCGUAUUAUUUCUGAAAUGUUUGAGUUGGAUCUUGGGUGCCAAAUUUUUCACCUGUUUGCUAUUCAAAGGGUUAAGCAAGUCGACUUUCCUUGAAAGAUUGUUUCGAGUGUGAAAACUCUGUGCUGAAUUAAUGAAAUAAGUAUUAAGCUAUAUAAAUGAAAUCUUAUUGAUAAACAUGCAAGGAAUCCACAAACAGCAAGACGUAAUUAAUGCUAAAGGGGCAUCGAUUUAAAUUGAUGAUUUUUAUUAAAAUUCUUA
This is a long non-coding RNA of Ceratina calcarata, 1907 nucleotides long. RefSeq lists it as uncharacterized. The transcript is spliced from 3 exons. The record is from RefSeq and is a predicted model, not a curated record. Lineage: Eukaryota; Metazoa; Arthropoda; Insecta; Hymenoptera; Apidae.